UCCAGUAAUAUUACAGGCCUCACGUCUGAGUUGGACAGGGGAUCUUGACAGUUUAAUGUCACUUGCUGCCAGAUCUAUCUUUCCAGCUCACGCGUGAGGCCG
RNAcentral lists this microRNA precursor (102 nucleotides) under Manduca sexta (tobacco hornworm). Its description in RNAcentral is "microRNA mse-mir-750 precursor". Its record names the gene mse-mir-750. The stretch from base 19 to 98 matches the Rfam family "mir-750 microRNA precursor family". The record is from miRBase by way of RNAcentral. Lineage: Eukaryota; Metazoa; Arthropoda; Insecta; Lepidoptera; Sphingidae.